RNAcentral lists this unclassified non-coding RNA (187 nucleotides) under Glomus sp. RNAcentral describes it as "partial contains 5.8S ribosomal RNA and internal transcribed spacer 2". Lineage: Eukaryota; Fungi; Glomeromycota; Glomeromycetes; Glomerales; Glomeraceae. The record is from RNAcentral.
GUGAAUCAUCGAAUCUUUGAACGCAAAUUGCACUCUCCUCGGAGAGGAUGGCCGUUUGAGGGUCAGCGUAUUAAAAAUCGACAUCGUUGCUGUUUUGUGGUGGCGUGCGGCGGAAAUUGGGUCAUCAUAAAUCCUUUUGAUUUAAGCGACUUAAAAUUUUCUUUUGGUUCCAUGAACGAUGCGAAGA